RNAcentral lists this long non-coding RNA (245 nucleotides) under Elaeis guineensis (African oil palm). RNAcentral's name for it is "long non-coding RNA (EGUI_LNC071086)". The record is from RNAcentral. Lineage: Eukaryota; Viridiplantae; Streptophyta; Magnoliopsida; Arecales; Arecaceae.
GCACAAAUUAGGGUUUAGCGAUAAGAGGUAUGUUUCUAUACCUUAUAUUAUGAUAUUAAUGCAUAUUAUAUGGUUUAAAUUUUGAUAAGAUGAUCUUGGAGUUAGGUUUUGGUUUUAUGAUUUCAUAAUAAUUGCUUUGAAAUCCGUGCUUCCGCCUUGACACCAAACCUUGCAGUGGUAUCAGAGCCAGGUUGUUAGAAUUAAAUCAUAUGAUGAUAUGUUAAUGAUUUAAUGGCAAUAUUAUA